CGGACUGCAGCCUGCAACCCGGCUGCACGAAGCCGGAAUCGCUAGUAAUCGCGGAUCAGAACGCCGCGGUGAAUACGUUCCCGGGUCUUGUACACACCGCCCGUCACACCAUGAGAGUCGGGAACACCCGAAGUCCGUAGUCUAACCGCAAGGGGGGCGCGGCCGAAGGUGGGUCCGGUAAUUGGGGUGAAGUCGUAACAAGGUAUC
RNAcentral lists this ribosomal RNA (207 nucleotides) under uncultured bacterium. RNAcentral's name for it is "partial 16S ribosomal RNA". It matches the Rfam family "Bacterial small subunit ribosomal RNA", at positions 1294 to 1500 of the family's 1533-position model. The record is from RNAcentral.